Kluyvera ascorbata ATCC 33433 is the source of this 121-nucleotide non-coding RNA. NCBI's taxonomy places the organism in Bacteria, Pseudomonadati, Pseudomonadota, Gammaproteobacteria, Enterobacterales, Enterobacteriaceae. The record is from Rfam.
AACCCCCCGAUACCUGUCACAUCUUGGCGGAAGUUCAGGUAUCGAGGGGUCCAAAAGCAGGCGCAUAGCCUGUGAAGGAUUAUAACGCAUGCAAUACAGAAAACAAUAUCCGGCCGCCAUA